RNAcentral lists this ribosomal RNA (200 nucleotides) under uncultured bacterium. RNAcentral's name for it is "partial 16S ribosomal RNA". It matches the Rfam family "Bacterial small subunit ribosomal RNA", at positions 28 to 232 of the family's 1533-position model. The record is from RNAcentral.
GACGAACGCUGGCGGCGUGCUUAACACAUGCAAGUCGAACGGAAAGGCCCUUCGGGGUACUCGAGUGGCGAACGGGUGAGUAACACGUGGGUGAUCUGCCCUGCACUUUGGGAUAAGCCUGGGAAACUGGGUCUAAUACCGAAUAUGACCAUGCACUUCCUGGUGUGUGGUGGAAAGCUUUUGCGGUGUGGGAUGGGCCC